GUGGCUCGAGGACGAACGCUGGCGGCGUGCCUAACACAUGCAAGUCGAGCGGAGUUAACAAGAGGAAGUUUCGGAUGGAAUUUGUUAAUUUAGCGGCGGACGGGUGAGUAACGCGUGAGCGACCAACCUUGCACAGGGGGAUAACGGACCGGAAGGUUCACUAAUACCGCAUGAGACCACGGUGUUGCAUGACACAGAGGUCAAAGGAGCAAUCCGGUGCAAGACGGGCUCGCGUCCGAUUAGGUAGUUGGUGGGGUAAUGGCCCCACCAAGCCUAUGAUCGGUAGCCGACCUGAGAGGGUGAUCGGCCACAUUGGAACUGAGAUACGGUCCAAACUCCUACGGGAGGCAGCAGUGGGGAAUAUUGGGCAAUGGGGGAAACCCUGACCCAGCAACGCCGCGUGAAGGAAGAAGGUUUUCGGAUUGUAAACUUCUGUCCUUGGUGAAGAGAAGAAGACGGUAGCCAAGGAGGAAGCCCCGGCUAACUACGUGCCAGCAGCUGC
RNAcentral lists this ribosomal RNA (502 nucleotides) under uncultured bacterium. RNAcentral describes it as "bacterial SSU rRNA". It matches the Rfam family "Bacterial small subunit ribosomal RNA", at positions 26 to 518 of the family's 1533-position model. The record is from RNAcentral.